RNAcentral lists this ribosomal RNA (483 nucleotides) under uncultured bacterium. RNAcentral describes it as "partial 16S ribosomal RNA". It matches the Rfam family "Bacterial small subunit ribosomal RNA", at positions 28 to 507 of the family's 1533-position model. The record is from RNAcentral.
GACGAACGCUGGCGGCGUGCUUAACGCAUGCAAGUCGAACGCUGAAGCUCAGCUUUUGUUGGGUGGAUGAGUGGCGAACGGGUGAGUAACACGUGAGUAACCUGCCUCCUUCUUUGGGAUAACGCCCGGAAACGGGUGCUAAUACUGGAUAUUCACUGGUCUUCGCAUGGGGGUUGGUGGAAAGGGUUCUUCUGGUGGGGGAUGGGCUCGCGGCCUAUCAGCUUGUUGGUGGGGUGAUGGCGUACCAAGGCUUUGACGGGUAGCCGGCCUGAGAGGGUGACCGGUCACAUUGGGACUGAGAUACGGCCCAGACUCAGACGGGGGGCAGAAGUGUGCAGGAUGGCGCAAUGGGGGAUAGCGUGAUGCAGCGGCGCGGCGUAAGGGGUGGAGGCCUUCGGGUUGUGAACCUCUUUCGCUCAUGGUCAAGCCGCAACAGUGAUUGUGGUGAGGGUAGUGGGUAAAGAAGCGCCGGCUAACUACGUG